GCCGAGCUUGGUCACGUAAGCUUGUAACUCGAGUGAGGGCAUUUAAGGAAAUGGAACAUCGGUCCAAACAUCUGGGCCGGGUCUAAAUCGGCUUCAUUCUGGGCCAGACCGUUUCAAGCAAAGAGAUGGGCUGUGUUCUCUGGGCGGAAGCCCUAUCGGGCACAGCCUUUAAAGCGGAGGGGAAAGCGUCAGGCUGGCUGACAGAGCAACGACAACCUCCCGCUCUUUGCGGUGAAAGGAUAUCUGACCGGUGCCUCUUGGGGCCCGCUAGGUCCAGAAAUUGGCCUAAUGGACCGUUUCCUUU
RNAcentral lists this signal recognition particle RNA (304 nucleotides) under Cucumis melo (muskmelon). RNAcentral describes it as "Plant signal recognition particle RNA". It matches the Rfam family "Plant signal recognition particle RNA". Lineage: Eukaryota; Viridiplantae; Streptophyta; Magnoliopsida; Cucurbitales; Cucurbitaceae. The record is from Rfam by way of RNAcentral.